UAUCUGGAAGUCGGAUUCAUUUGCUCCAUUUUCUUGGAAGAUUGAGGGACACACACAAAAUGCAACAGCCGGUGCAAGCAGCGCCUUUAUGAGAGCUUCACACCUCCGUUUUGUUCUUCUCUGACAUUGUGACGUGGGAAGCAGGAAGGAACCCGCUGGCACACGUGGCAGCCCGGUGGGACGGGAGCGGUAACACAUCCCGGGAAGGUCCUCAAGCGAUGGACUAUUGGAGUUGGUGGUCCUUGUGAAUUUGAGAAACCCGUGAGCAGAAGUCCACCAUAAAACGAUGACCUCUUAGCCACACCACGACCAGCAGCUUCUCAGGACCAGCUCUCCCCCCACACGGAGCCAACCAACCGGAGCCCCGCCGUGUGUGCGGUGGAACCACAGGGGGGAGGGGAGGGAGAAUCCGUGGGCCCCUGGAGGCGAUCCUGUCUUCCCAUCCCCGACGGUGACGCGCUCCUCCGUGAGCCGAGCUGUUCUGUGACUUCCCGCGGCUACGUUCUGUGUGUUCAGGGUCGAGGUCCUUCACGUCUUCCAACAGGUUUGUUCCAAAGUCUCUGAUUAUAUCAGAAUUUAUUCCUUCACGUUAUAAAUGACGUUACUUCUAAACCUCACUUCGCGGUCAUCUAUGGAGAGCAUCCGGGGGCGUUGCUACGUCUCCACACGCUAACGUUACUAUAUCCUUUAUGGAGUUUGGGGCUUUGGUACAUGUGGUCGGGUUUUCUGCACGUAAUGAGUUCGCUUUUCCCUUUGCAAUCCUUACGCCUUUAUUUCUUGUGCUUGCCUGUGCUUGCCAGCCUUUCUAGUAAAUGCUGAAUGCAACAUCCUUGUGUUGGUAAUAA
Molecule: long non-coding RNA, 845 nt
Organism: Ailuropoda melanoleuca (giant panda)
Lineage: Eukaryota; Metazoa; Chordata; Mammalia; Carnivora; Ursidae
Exons: 3
Source: RefSeq, a predicted model, not a curated record